UGCAAGCGGACUUCAGUCGAGCUUCUGCAAUAAGCGGUCUCCACCCGGGCUUCCACGGCAAUCGGUCUCCAUCCGAGCUUCUACAGUAAGCGGCCUCCUUCCAGACACCACUUCACUCCCUGUAACAAGCUCCACGUGGCCCCACCACUCUCCAGCAGGUCGCGACAACAGACACCACUACUCUCCAUAACAAACUCCACGUGGCCCCGAAUGGCCCACUACCAGGCAGUUGCGGACGUUGCUGUCAAUCGAUUAUGCUCUCCCAUCUAUAAAAGAGACCCCC
This 283-nucleotide long non-coding RNA is filed under the name Elaeis guineensis (African oil palm). Its description in RNAcentral is "long non-coding RNA (EGUI_LNC043378)". The record is from RNAcentral. Lineage: Eukaryota; Viridiplantae; Streptophyta; Magnoliopsida; Arecales; Arecaceae.